Long non-coding RNA from Mercurialis annua (annual mercury), 661 nucleotides. RefSeq lists it as uncharacterized. The record is from RefSeq and is a predicted model, not a curated record. Lineage: Eukaryota; Viridiplantae; Streptophyta; Magnoliopsida; Malpighiales; Euphorbiaceae. The transcript is spliced from 3 exons.
GUGGUAACUGUAAGCACGGAAGACUGUAUCUUUACACAUCGUGGACGCAAAAGAACCCUGGAAGGAGGUUUUGGAGAUGCUCCAAGUAUAAAACAGAUGAUUGUGGUGCGUUCCAAUGGUAUGAUGGAGAGCCUUCGGCAGAAUUGUUCUUGAAGAUUGGCUAUUUACUGGAACAGAUCAAAUUGCUGAAUGGGCAAGUGCGAAACCAGGAGAUUCUGAUUGCAGAGAAAGAUGAACAACUUGCUAGGAUUAGGGAAGCACAACAGAGAGCGGCAAUAACGUUUGAGAAGCUCAUUGAUGAUCGAGAUAGGCUCAUUGAAGAGAAUCGGAAGUUGAAGUCUGAUGAUGAAGGUUCGCAGAGUUGCGGCAGGUGAUGACAUUGGAGCUCGAAGAAGGUUGUAGGCUGUUUGUAGGAAGUAUGUAGGUUUAUGUAGGAAGUAUGUAGGUUUAUGUAGGAAGUAUGUAGGAAGUAUGUAGGAAAGUAUUUAACUCUUUUUGGUGCUAGCAACGUAAAAUAUUGUGCUUUAGAAUAUGAUAUGUAAUAUUUUGUGAAUUGACUUUGGGUCAAUCUUGUGCUUUAGAAGAUGAUAUGUAAUAUUUUGUGAAUUGACUUUUGGUCAAUCUUGUGCUACUGUUGUGUAAUAUGUACUAAUGAAGUGAA